CGUAAUCGCCCCCCUCUCCGUAAUUAACCCGCUCCUAAUCGUCUCCUCCGUAUGGAAGAAGGAACCGCAGCACGGUGGUUAAAAAAACACAGCACCUCGCUUGAGAAACCUGCCCUCGCGCAUGCCGCCGCCGUCCGCACACGCCUACCCUGCGCCCUCGCCCUCGCCAUCGCCGAUUGCUCGGCACGCGGCCUCUCCGCAACGGAGGUAGAUCGGCAUCGCUGCACUGUCGCCAUCGAUCUCACUCUCGCCAUCGCCGUCGAUCUCACCCUCGCCAUCGUCGUCGAUCUCACCCUCGCCAUCGCCGGUUGCUCCUGGCGCUCUGCAACUGCUCCGAAAACUACGUCGUAGUGGACCGCAACUUCUUCAAUGCCUCCGCUCGUUGUUGCCACCAGGUGCGCGAAUCCCUUCCUGCUGCACGAAGAUGUCCUCCUCGAUGCCGAUGCAAGCGACAAACUCGAUCCUGCUCUCCUUUGGUUGGAGCGGGGCACCUAUGGAUGAUCGAUGGGAAUGUCCACGAAACCAUCGACUCUGCUUCAUGUCCUCCUCGCCGUCAGCUCUGCUUUGGAAGUUUGGACGGGGUGGGAGUGGCGUCUGCGGGGUAGUGGCAAGGAGGCAGCAGGCUGGCGGUGCUGGCAUGUCAGGAUGACCUCCAGAGGAAGGCCGGUGCAGCCGUGCAGGGGCAUUGCGGGCCCUGCAGCGGCGCUUGCCUGACCAACAUGUGUCUCCAUGCCACCAUCCCGCGAUGCGAGUGCCGCUCAUCCAAUCUCAAAAGUGUCUAAACUGAAAGGCUAACAAUUUGAGUGACCAUGUGCAAGAUGCCAAGAUGGGUACCCAGUUAAUCUGCACAUGUAUGAUCUCAGCCAUGGGAUGGCCUCGCAGCCCUCAGCGCCAAGCUGAUGAUCCUCGGCAAGGCCAUUGAGGCGAUUUGGGAACUGCCACCCCACUUAUUAUCAUGUUGUGUGGGAUGAGAAUAAUAUUACCACUCACUGAUGGUGAUUAUAAAACUCAGUCCAAAUUUUUUUGCAGUUUUUGGCCAUCUUGUCGAUCAAGGUAAAAGUACCUUGGCAUGGAUAUUAGGUCGGGAGCUCCACACAAGAGACAAGCUAACAUAUGUCCUUGAUUGUGAUAACUUAAGACAUGGCCUGAACAAGAGUUCUUGCCAUUAAAGCUGAAGAUCGUGCUAAAAAUAUAAGGAGAGGUGGUAACUAUCUGGCGAAGACGGACAUGUCUAUCAUAUUUAAUGGGACUCCCAUGAAAGUAAAACCAAGUCUUUCUCUUGUCAUUAUUUUAUCUUUCCAGCAUUUUGCAGUUCAUAUUUUCUUUCAGCUAUUUUGGAUAGGUGAAGUAGUAAAGUUAUUUGCCGAGGGAUUGGGAGUUUAGGAUUGAUAAGUCACUCCAUGCAAGCCAUUUUCUUUCCCCUUUGGUCUGAUCCAUCAUAAAUACUUGGGAUAUUUGGGUCUAAAAGGUUUAUGCUAUUAUCAGUGUCCUUGUGGCUAGCAGUGGAGAUGGAGAUCUCAAAGAAAGAACAUGGAGGUGAAUGAUUGAGAAAAUGUCACCAUAUGAUGGAUGAGUGAUUAUUGGAAGUUAAUCAUUUGCAGGUGCAUUCUUGCUUUUAGCUAUCUAUAUUUUUCCUACCUAUCUGGUUGGAUACGCAAUAUAUCUACAUGCAAAUUGUUUUAGGGGUGUUUAAUAUCUGAGGCUCAUGAUUUUUUUUCUAAAAUAUUGUGACUAUGAUGUGUGUCUUGCGUUGCCUGUGGAUCUUGGACGCAGAUCCAGCUAUUGAACACCCACUACCCCAUGUUAUUAUAUGAUACUUUCACAUUGCAUUUUUGUGUUGUUUUUUCCAUUGACAGAUGGAUGGAGACUAUUGGAUGUUAUCAAAUUGGCCAUUGAAUUCAGGGAAACCAUGCUGAAACUUGGAUGACACAAUUUCUAAACUAUAUGCUGAGAGCAUGCACAAUACUGAAAAGUGUUUGACAAAUUUGUUAAGUAUGGUGUUCUUUUAUUGAACUAGGUAGUACAAGAAGGUAUGAACGAAGUGCUAGGACUUCUAACAUUAUCAUUUACCUAAACCAAAUAUUGAUCUUUGACUUCUGA
Sorghum bicolor (sorghum) is the source of this 2100-nucleotide long non-coding RNA. RefSeq lists it as uncharacterized. The record is from RefSeq and is a predicted model, not a curated record. Lineage: Eukaryota; Viridiplantae; Streptophyta; Magnoliopsida; Poales; Poaceae. The transcript is spliced from 4 exons.